Molecule: ribosomal RNA, 253 nt
Filed under: uncultured bacterium
Lineage: Bacteria
Description: partial 16S ribosomal RNA
Rfam family: Bacterial small subunit ribosomal RNA
Source: RNAcentral
UACGGAGGUGGCGGGCGUUGCUCGGAUUUACUGGGUGUAAAGGGCACGUAGGCGGUCUUGUAAGCCCUGUCUGAAAGGCUCCGGCUCAACCAGAGCAUUGGGUGGGGGACUGCAAGACUUGAGGACUGGAGAGGCGAACGGAAUUCCCGGUGUAAGGGUGAAAUCUGUAGAGAUCGGGAGGAACACCAGUGGCGAAGGCGGUUCGCUGGCCAGUUUCUAACGCUGAGGUGCGAAAGCUAGGGGAGCAAACAGG